GUAAUACUGAGGUAGGGAUAUGUCAGGGAAUAUAAGAACCUGUGUAUAUCGUGCCCCUUGUAAUACUGAGGGACGGAUAUGUCAGGGGACCCAAGAACCCGUGUAUAUCAUGCCCCUUGUAAUGCUGAGGGAGGGAUAAGUCAGGGGACCCAAGUACCUGUGUAUAUCAUGCCCCUUGUAAUACUGAGGGAGGGGUAUGUCAGGGAAUGGAAGAGUCCCCCCCCUUGAGAAACUUUAUAUUUUUCAUAAACAGUACAACCUGUUUGUGUUAACUAUCUGGUACCAUAAUUAUUUUGUAUUGUGAAAAUAACUGUAAAAAUCAACACAAAUAAUUUUAUGAAAACUUGCGUAUUGUAACAAGAAUUGUACAAAUCUGUUGUACAAAGCAUCUUUAGUGCUACACCGGUUGUAAGUCUAUGUUGAGGUAUGGGAGUUAUGAUCACCUUAGCACUAAGAUCACUUUGUACAACGGCAGCCUGAUCUUAGUUUGGAGAGAGCCAACAUCCCAAAACUAUAUUGCACUGACUGUUUUUACAAAUUUUUGAUAUGAUUAGAAUAAUUAUGGUACUGUUGCCACUCAUAUGUGAUGUGAUCACCCUCAUCAUGUCUACCUGUAUGUUCUACCUGUGUGUCCUACCUGUCUGUUCUACCUGGAUUGUCCCUGUGUGUUCUACCUGGAUUGUACCUGUAUGCUCUACCUGUCUGUUCUACCUGGAUUGUCCCAGUGUGUUCUACCUGGAUUGUACCUGUAUGCUCUAACUGGAUUGUCCCUGUGUGUUCUACCUGUCUGAUCUACCUGGAUUAUACUUGGAUGUUCUACCUAUGUAUUCUACCUAUGCACAGUGUCUGCACUGCUCAGUGUCUCAAAGAUUUAUCUUCAACGUUUGUCAUAUCAUAAUACUCUAAUGUUUUGCAUGAUGUUUCUCUUUUUAUAAUCUGUAUGAUAUUUAUACAAUGUUUUUGUGACUUGGAUUAUUAUGACAGUCUUCAAGCAUGUGGUUUUAUAAAGUUAUUGACAUUUUUGGCUCUUCUUUUCGAAUGAGGAAAGCUUGAAAGUGUUUGAAUGUGAUGAGAAUGUGUUCAGUUGAUAAACAAUUUUUAUUUUUAUUCUUUUCAAGUCUUGCAUGUUUCAAACUUCAAUACAGACUGAAGGUCAAAUGUCUCCCAUGAGCUGAUAUGACUUUUCUGGAGGUAUUUUUCUUUUCAGUGAAUGUGAGUGAAUCUUUAACCGAAACUGUUUAAAAAGGUGUAAGUAAAGUCUGUUCCAACAUAUGUUGACAAACUGACUUUGAUCACAGGCUGCAUAUUAAUUGACAAGUGCUAGACAGAAAAAGCUAUUUGUCAGUCAUAUACUUGUUUACAUGGUUUCAGAAUUUGAACAUUGGCCUGUCUCAGUGCAUACAAAUGGCCUUCGUCUUACCUCAUCCCUUAUGAUCAAGCAGAAUAUCACAGCCUAUGUUCGUUCAUGUGGAAAAAGCAUUUUCCAUCCAUUGUCAGUCAUGUGAAGCUUAUUUAUGGUUUAAUGCAUAUCAUAUGUUCUUGUGAAAUCAAUUUGUGCCCAAGAAUAUACCACAUGAGUAAGGUGACCAACAUGAUGGAAACGUUUUGUUACUAUUGACAGAAAAUAAGGGAAUGAUGAUAAUUGAUCAGCCUUGGUUUGAUAGCAACAUAUCCGUGAUUAGGGCAUUAAAAAAAAUCUAAACAUUUAAGACCUGAUUUGCUUCAGGUUUUUCUCCCGUGUGAUAUAACUCACUCACUCACUCACUCUUUAAUGUUGUUUGUUUCGGAUUUGAUACCUUACAGCCACAAUAUUCACAACUCGUGAUGUUCAACAAGUCCUUUUCUGGUUCUGUGACCUAGCAUUUCAGACAGGAUCCACUCACUCACAUUGGUAGUUUUCUGUAAAAGUCUUUUGGCUUUGAUCAGGUUACAUUCUGCACUAAACAUCACACCGUAAACAUAUUGCUGAACUUUUGCUCAUGACACUGUCAAAUCAUUUGUCCUAAGUUACGAAAUUAAGGCAAGCAGUUUCAAAUUUUCUUUCCUGAUCUGUCAGUAUCCUUUCAGUCAGUCAGUCUAAUAUUGUCACUUUCCUUCUUUCAAUCUACAGGUAUUCUUUCGAUCUAGCUGAUUUUAUUCAUCAUGCAUACAUUAAGCAAAUAUUUACUUUAAAUAUGCAUCUGUAUUUAUGACAUUUAAACUAACUUUAUGUGAACUAAAAAAUUGUGACUGCAUAUUUACAUACACUUUGAUGUGUGCACUCAAAAUUGAAAUGGUCACAAUGACAAAUUUUAUCAGGGUCAGUAACCAUGGUUACAGGAAGACAUUACCUGUUACAGGUAAGGUUGAACAUUGACAGAAGGUUGAAUGUUUUAUUCCCCCAAUAUAUUUUGAUGAAUGUCUUUAAAUUGCCUUAUGAAAUAAUGGAUUGACAUUUACCUUAGUUUGAUACUCAGCACAUUUUUCCCAAGUUUCACAAUAUCAGAGUGUAAUAGGAGGAUUUCCUCCUCAUAGCUAUUUUGGAUGUUAUUUUACCAGACACAUUAAUGAUAAGCAAUGGAACUGACAAGAAUGACAAAAAAAGUUAAAUAUAUUUUGAAAAUACCCUGUAAAAUGUUAAUAUAUGUUCAUUAGAGAUGUCAUAGUUUUGAGGAGAUAGUGUUUGUUUUAUUGAAGGCAUCCAAUGCCUUGGACCUACCAUAGCCUUGAAGGCAAAUAUGUCUGGCAAGAGAUUGUCUUGUGUAUUUUUGGCUUGGAGAGCAUGUGAUAUGUUACCUUGACCUAUGACAACUGACCUGAACAAAAGAUGACCUGACACACAGAAUCAAACAAGAAACUGUCAUACAAUAGUGGCAUAUUGUGUGUUUGGGGCUGCUAACCUUUGUUGUAUGUCCAAAUGUCAUAUAAGCUAUGCCACUAAAGGCUCUUUUUGUCAUAUACAAGAUCAUAUUUUGAUGGUAUUUAACGUGAUGUGUUAAUGUUUUAUGCUUGCUCAGCAUGUUUUAUGCUUGCUCAGCAUGCGAGAUGUAAUGCUUUUGAGCUUACAAAGAGCCAUUGAAGCAGUUUUAUUACAUAUAUGGUAAUAAUUUUAAAAUAACAUUAUCACAAAUGCAGUGAUAUCUGGGGAGUUUUUGCUUAACUACUUAUCAUUGUGCUGAUGAAUAAUGCCCUGUUGUGCUUCAGUAUUUUUCAGCAUAUUUUGUUAAAUAUCAAUGUUUUGUUUGACAUGUAUGACAUUUAUCAAAACUCUACUGUCAAUUUAUAAAUGCCUUUUCUAUGUUGUUAAUCAAUAAAUUAUUACUGAUUAAA
RNAcentral lists this long non-coding RNA (3309 nucleotides) under Haliotis rubra (blacklip abalone). Its description in RNAcentral is "uncharacterized LOC124282105". Lineage: Eukaryota; Metazoa; Mollusca; Gastropoda; Lepetellida; Haliotidae. The record is from RNAcentral.